RNA transcript from Onychomys torridus (southern grasshopper mouse), 2609 nucleotides. It is a transcript of the gene named solute carrier family 9 member B2, with no coding region annotated. The transcript is spliced from 14 exons. The record is from RefSeq and is a predicted model, not a curated record. NCBI's taxonomy places the organism in Eukaryota, Metazoa, Chordata, Mammalia, Rodentia, Cricetidae.
UCAACUCUGCUUUAAAAGAAAAGAAGUAGGAAAGGAAGACACCAAACUGGAAGUCAGAAAUAAAAAAACAAAUGGCCGGUGGGAGGGUUACAGUGUAAAGCAGCACAGCGAGAGGCCGACCGUGAUAAACUCUACUCUGGGUUUCAUCCCACCAUUUGUCACCUGACAGAAGAACCCUGCCUCUGCCCAGCCCGUGGGAAGACACUGAGAGUCCUGGAGGUGGCGAGGGAUCACAGAGUUUGGGAGAUUCGGGACGGUGAGCCGUGCAGGGCUGCGGGGAAGCGGGGCGCGCCGGUCGGGGUCUUCCUCCAGCUGAGCACACGGAGCCCUGAAUCCGGAGAGUGCGCCGCGCCCGCGCCGCGCCCCCGGACCUCGGGGUUAUCCGCAGGCCCCCAGCCCGGCGCCGCCCCGCCGCCUGGGCAGCCUAGGCUGGGUUCCCAGUCUACGGUAGCCGGGUGGCCUGUGCCGGAGACGGCGAGCAAUGAUAUCUUGUUCCUCAUCCCUGAAUCAUCGUCUUUGAAAUUAUAAGACAUGGAGGAUGAAGAUAAGACAGUUGAAUGUCAGGAUUCAAAGCCAUCCACAGGGACCAGUCACACAGCUUCUGUGCAUCAAGGACUAUGGGAGGAGAGGGUCGUGAACCUCAAAGAUGGGAACGAGCCAACAGAAGACAGCAACCUACUCAACAGUGGUGAAGGGAAGCCGCAGGAAUUGGCAAGAGAAUCCAGUCACUUGCAGAGUCUGAGACGGAUACUGGCUUGCCCUCCACAUGGCUGGCUGAGCAAAGUGAUAACAAAUGGUACCAUGGUUGUUCUCCUGUGGGCUGUGGUGUGGUCAGUUACCGGCCCCGAGUGUCUUCCAGGAGGAAAUCUGUUUGGAAUCAUAAUCCUAUUCUAUUGUGCAGUCACCGGAGGCAAAAUGUUUGGACUCAUUAAGUUUCCAACCUUGCCUCCUCUGCCUCCUCUUCUUGGCAUGCUGCUUGCUGGGUUUCUCUUGAGAAAUGUCCCGGCCAUCAGUGAUAAUGUCCGGAUCCAGCAGAAGUGGUCUUCUUCUUUGAGAAGCAUAGCCCUUUCUGUCAUUUUGGUUCGUGCUGGCCUCGGUCUGGACCCAAAGGCGCUGAAGAAACUGAAGGGUGUGUGUGUACGACUGGCCGUGGGUCCCUGCGUUGUGGAGGCGUGUGCUUCUGCGCUCCUUUCCCACUUCCUGAUGGGUUUGCCUUGGCAGUGGGGGUUCAUACUGGGUUUUGUCAUAGGUGCUGUGUCCCCAGCAGUGGUGGUCCCUUCAAUGCUCCUUCUGCAAGAAGGAGGCUACGGUGUUGAAAAAGGUGUUCCAACUCUACUCAUGGCCGCUGGCAGCUUUGAUGACAUUUUGGCCAUCACUGGCUUCAACACAUGCUUGGGUGUGGCCUUUUCCACAGGGUCUACAGUUUUUAACAUCUUCAGGGGCAUUUUGGAGGUGGUAAUUGGCAUGGCUACUGGAUCUUUUCUUGGGUUUUUUAUACAGUACUUUCCAAGCAGUGACCAGGACAACCUUGUGUGGAAGCGAGCCUUCCUGGUUCUGGGCUUUGCUAUGCUAGCUGUGUUCAGCAGUGUUCAUUUUGGCUUCCCAGGGUCAGGAGGACUGUCCACACUGGUCAUGGCUUUCCUUGCAGGCAUGAGAUGGAGUGACAAGAAGUCAGAGGUAGAAAAGAUAAUUGCAGUCACCUGGGACGUUUUCCAGCCCCUUCUGUUUGGCCUGAUUGGAGCAGAGGUAUCUAUUGCAUCGCUCAGACCAGAAACUGUUGGCAUUUGUGUUGCAACCCUUGGCACUGCAGUAUUGAUACGAAUUUUGACUACAUUUCUGAUGGUGUGUUUUGCUGGUUUUAACAUAAAAGAAAAGAUAUUUAUUUCUUUUGCAUGGCUUCCAAAGGCCACAGUCCAGGCUGCCAUUGGGUCUGUGGCUCUGGACACAGCACGAACCCAUGGAGAAAAGCAGCUAGAAAAAUAUGGAAUGGAUGUGUUGACAGUGGCAUUUUUGUCCAUCCUCAUCACAGCCCCAAUUGGAAGCCUACUGAUUGGUUUGCUGGGUCCCAGACUUCUUCAGAAAUUUGAACAUCAAAAUGAAGAGGAAGUUCAAGGAGAGACUUCUGCACACGUUCAGAGGAAGCCUGGGGAGUCCAUUACAGAAGCUUGAUAUACCACGUUUACCAUCCCAAACCCAAAGGUUUGGGCUCACCAUCAACCAGGACAACUCUAUAUCCCUUCAUUUCAGAUGAAAUAUUUCCCAUGAGAUUUCAUAAGAAAAAAAUUAAGAACUUUUAUGCUGCUAACAGUACCUCAGGGAUUUGCUUCCUGAGAAAGAUGGGGGAAUAGGCUACUUUGGAAAAUGAGAGAAGAACUCUUAGAACUCAGCAGGAAGGAAGUCAAACAAUCUGAUUUGAGAAUGGGCAAAAAGGGCUGUCUAGACUGCUCCAGGUCAAGAUGUUUGCCACCAAGCCUGAGCCCCGAACCCACGUGGUGGGAAGGAGAGAACCAGCUCUGGCUAGUUGUCCUCUCACCUGUGUAGACACAACUUCAUGUGCCCACCUUGGUCUUCCCACCAAACCCAUAAGGAACGUAAUGACCCUGAGAACA